RNAcentral lists this transfer RNA (30 nucleotides) under Canis lupus familiaris (dog). Its description in RNAcentral is "partial tRNA-Thr". The record is from RNAcentral. Lineage: Eukaryota; Metazoa; Chordata; Mammalia; Carnivora; Canidae.
AAAUGGAGAGUAACCGCCCUCCCUAAGACU